This 253-nucleotide ribosomal RNA is filed under the name uncultured bacterium. Its description in RNAcentral is "partial 16S ribosomal RNA". It matches the Rfam family "Bacterial small subunit ribosomal RNA", at positions 524 to 776 of the family's 1533-position model. The record is from RNAcentral.
UACGUAGGGUGCAAGCGUUGUCCGGAAUUAUUGGGCGUAAAGAGCUUGUAGGCGGUUUGUCGCGUCUGCUGUGAAAUUUCGGGGCUCAACCCCGAACUUGCAGUGGGUACGGGCAGACUAGAGUGUGGUAGGGGAGUCUGGAAUUCCUGGUGUAGCGGUGAAAUGCGCAGAUAUCAGGAGGAACACCGGUGGCGAAGGCGGGACUCUGGGCCGAUACUGACGCUGAGGAGCGAAAGCCAGGGGAGCGAACGGG